UCCCCGUUUCCGGGGCAGUCCCAUCAGAGUGCCCUAAAUAAAUAGGUAGCAACUGACGGUAAGGGUUGCGCUCGUUAAAGGACUUAACCCAACAUCUCACGACACGAGCUGACGACAGCCAUGCAGCACCUGUGUAAUCGUCUGUAGCAAGCUACAGAACCCGAUAUUUCUAUCAGUAGCAAUUACAUGUCAAGUCCAGGUAAGGUUCCUCGCGUAGUGUCGAAUUAAACCACAUGUUCCACCGCUUGUGCGGACCCCCGUCAAUUUCUUUGAGUUUUAAUCUUGCGACCGUACUCCCCAGGCGGAUCACUUAUCGCGUUAGCUACAACACCAACCCCGCUAAGCAGGGCUGACACCUAGUGAUCAUCGUUUACGGUGUGGACUAC
Molecule: unclassified non-coding RNA, 386 nt
Filed under: uncultured bacterium
Lineage: Bacteria
Description: contains 16S-23S intergenic spacer region
Source: RNAcentral